UUGAUAGCAGGGUGCUUACAUUUUAAAUAAUAUCCCAGACAGCAGUGGUUCCAUUAUUUACUUUAUCUGACAUCCAAAUUGACUGGGUGUCAGUCUUGAGAGGGUUUUUGUUUUUUGCUUUUGUUUGUUUGUUUGUUUGGGUUUUUUUUUCUCCUUCUCAUUUGUUUUGUGCUAGCAUGUUUUUCCCUUGCUUUGUUUUAGUUUAGAGCAUGUAUACUAAGAGUAAAGAUGGGGUUUUGGUUGCUAGCUAGCUGUGACAGAGAAUCUGGAAUUUAGGACCUGCAGACUGAAAAGUGUGUGGAGAAGAAGAAAAGAAUUAUAGUCUGACAGGAGAGAAUCAUCAGUCCAUAAAUGAAGAAACUUACAGUCAAACCAGUCAGCCCUAGGAUUUACUCUUUUGCUUAGUGAGCUAGAAUAGCUAUAAUAACUACAUUGAAAGAUAAGAGUAGACAGUGUAAAAACAUUCAUAUACUUACUUUCUAAACCCUAGUCAAACAUCUUUUCUCAGGCUAUUUAGAGUUUUCAUUGAUACAGCUGCAGUAGUCAAUAGGAAACUUAACUAAAUAUUUUCCUUUUCUGUACUGAGGAUCUAAUUCAGUGUCUUGUGCAUUAGGCCAGUGCUCUAACACUUAGCCAGAUCCAUGUCCUAUAAAUAUUUUAAUCCUUUGUCGUUUCAUUCAUAGCAUAUUCUGAGCUUCAUAUACCAUACAGAAAUAAGAGCUGUGUGCCAUCAGUUCUUUGAGAUUUUCUUGAAUAUACUUUAGACAUUUAGAACUAUGUAGCCAAUUGUUUCUAUUAACAGUUUACAUAUUCUAAAGCUUUGCAGAUGUGCUUUCAACUCUGGAAUAUUCUUUUUUUUGUCCUCAAUUGGCUUCUAUAGGGACAAUUUGAAUACCAUGUUUAAAAGUCUUUAGGGCACCUCAGGAUCUCAGGGCCCACAAAAUAUUAAUGUUUAAUGUUAAUCUCUAAGCAACAUAACAUACAAUUUCUUCAAAGUUUACUUGAGGACUCCUUUUAUCAUUUUUUCCUGGAAACAUCUAAAGACAUAAAAUGCUGAAUUGUUCUAUCUUGUUUGGGAACAAAUAAAACCUAAGUCAUUAAAAUAAGUGUUACUUUAAAAUGGGGAGAAAGGAGACACAUCUGAAGAAGAAAGGAAAAUCACGAGCUACCAAAAGUUAAGGAGACAAAUUCUUCAAGAGUUGUUUUGUUGUUCCUCACUGCCUGCCCCCUCCAUUCUUCUGUCUCUGCCUCCCUUCUUUUCCUUUCUUCUUCUGUCCUUUCCUGCUUCUCCCCCUCUUCUUCCCCUCUCUGGAACAGAAAGUCUAUAUGCUAGUAAAUACAACUCUCUUAGUGGGCAUCUGCAGGGAACCAAACUCUACAGAAACUAGGGUAUUCAUUGAGAGUGAGAGGAUUAAUUAUAACUUAGUACCUAUAGAAGGCUGUUAGCAUUGAAAGAAGGAAGUAGAAAUAGCAAUCAUGACAAUGUCAGUCAUCUAUACAGCAUCAUCCUACUUAUUUUGAGAACUAUUUUUUUCACAGCGCUUCAUAAACCUAUGGUAUAGGGAGGGACUAGACAAUACACAUCACAUAAUAAGUUCUAAGUCUUGAUAAGCUACUGAAGGUUGGAGCGAACAUGCACCUAUUUUAAAGGAGUUGGUGUAACCAGGGCCCUUGCUCUCUUCAAACUACAUUAUAUUACCUAGAGAAAAUCAUGCAUACUGAAAACAAUUUAGAGCCCAUCUGAAAAUGGUCCCAAGCUACAACAGACUGCAGCAAAAAUUUUAAAGUCUUUAUAUGAGGGCACCAGGAAUGAGAAUGAAGGGUGAGUUUAGAGAUCCUGGAAGACACGUAAAGCCCUCCGCUUUUGAUUUAAUUGAUGAGUUCACAUUGAUCCAGGGAAGUGGAGUUCCCUGUAUCAGUUAGAGCUGAUGGUAGCAUUCUGAAUAUGAAGAUGGAGAAAUUAUAAUACCAUUGACAAAACUGAGGAGCACGUAUGGAUGAUAUAGAUUCAGGGAAGAUGCUGCAUCUGAAUUUUAAUGGUCUCAAGUUGGAAAUGAUGUCAGCAUCUCAGAAUUAUACAACUGCAUUGGAAAGGAGG
This 2098-nucleotide long non-coding RNA is filed under the name Mus musculus (house mouse). Its description in RNAcentral is "long non-coding RNA chr3:141505789-141507887". Lineage: Eukaryota; Metazoa; Chordata; Mammalia; Rodentia; Muridae. The record is from RNAcentral.